GACGAACGCUGGCGGCGUGCUUAACACAUGCAAGUCGAACGGAAAGGCCCGGCUUUUGCGGGGUGCUCGAGUGGCGAACGGGUGAGUAACACAUGAGUAACCUGCCCUUGACUGUGGGAUAACUUCAGGAAACUGGGGAUAAUACCGGAUAGGAGCUCCUGAUGCAUGGUGGGGGUUGGAAAGUGUCGGCGGUUGUGGAUGGACUCGCGGCUUAUCAGCUUGUUGGGGGAGUAGGGGCUGACCAGCUCUUCGACGGGUAGCCGGCGUGAGAGGGUGGCCAGCCACCAGGCGCCUGCGGUACGGCCCAGACUGCUACGGGAGGCAGCAGUGGGGAAUAUUGCACAAUGGGCCCGAGCCUGAUGCGACAACGCCGCGUGCGUGAUGCCCUCCUUCUGGGUGUAAACCGCUUUCGCCUGUGACGAAGCGUGAGUGACGGUAAUGGGUAAAGAAGCACCGGCUAACUACGUG
Molecule: ribosomal RNA, 468 nt
Filed under: uncultured bacterium
Lineage: Bacteria
Description: partial 16S ribosomal RNA
Rfam family: Bacterial small subunit ribosomal RNA
Source: RNAcentral